GCAAACUAGAAUAGAAAACAAAGAUGUUUGCUGUAAAACAAUAAGUCUUGUCAUUUUUCCUUAAAAGAUAAGGAGAAUUUGAUUAACAUUGAUCUACUUCGUAUGCAUACAUAUGUUAUAUACGAUUAUCUAUUACAUUCAUUAAAGCCAACGAUAAUGCAAUUGUAUAUAUGUAUAUGCAGAUAUUAAAUAUUGGUUUACAUUUAUUGAUUUGUUAAGAAGGAUGACUUUUUUCUUUUGUUAGUUUAACAGCGCUAUCUAUUUCCGGUUCUUAGAAAGACGUUAUAUAAAAUAUUAGGCUUAUUGAAGAAGCAUAAAUUAAUUAAUCAAAUUUCCAGUUAAACAAGUCCAAUACGAUGUUGCUACGCAAACAGUUUCUCGAACAACCAAGUACGUUGUGAUCCAAUCAGCUUUUCCCAAGAAUUUUCUCGAACCAAUCAUAUGCAGCUGCUGCGUCAUUCUACCACGGCUAUAUAAAAGAAAGGGUAUCAUAUCUCGCUUCAGUUCUGUGGGAAUCGCUAAAGAUAGUCUUUGUGAAUCUAUUUGCUGUGACAUUUUGAUAAAUUAUCUUUGAUUUUUGCAAAGCUACAUUACAUUAGAACCA
This is a long non-coding RNA of Polistes canadensis, 604 nucleotides long. RefSeq lists it as uncharacterized. Lineage: Eukaryota; Metazoa; Arthropoda; Insecta; Hymenoptera; Vespidae. The record is from RefSeq and is a predicted model, not a curated record. The transcript has 2 exons.